GCGCAGGCGCGCAGCGCACCUCGCCCUCGCGUUCGGUCGUUCGGUCAGUCAGUCGUCAGUCGCAGCCAGAGCCAGCCAGCCGCAGCUCGCCGCCAGACAGUCGGGCCGACCAGAAGCCAGGCGCAUGCAUUUCCGAGACAUGCCUGUUGGCUUCGUUCCCGACAUGCAUCAGUCCACGCUGCUCGAUGCACGUCGGAUUCGCUGCGACCCGCCGUGAUCCGCGAAGCACGCUAGCGUUGGCGCCAUGCGGCUGAAACGGCUUGGCUUGGAAACGUGGCCCAGCCGGGUCUGCCGGGCCCAGCUGGCUCAGCUCGAAGCGGCUCCACCUGCCACCUGGUGGUGCCCGGCCGGAGCGACUGACGGCUUCUCUCCUGGACUGCGUCUCGAGUCAUUCGUCGCGGCAGCGACGCGGGGCGGCGAGUCGGCCGAGCACUGAGCGUUCCACGUGACCAAGUUGGAACCCUUUUUGCCCGUCCUACUCGCCCUCCGCGCGCCUCCGCGGGCGGUCGUUUGGUUGUCAGUGCUGCCGCACACACAAGCGAGUGUCGGGAGGGUUGCCAACCUCAGCCUACCAGGCAACUUGUUGGGCCUUGUAGGCAGGCUGAGGUUGGCAACCCUUUCGACACCGGCGCGCAGUUUUCGGCUGCUUGUGUGGCAGCACUGGUCCUUGGUUCGGGCGGGAACGCGGGGCGGCGAGUCGGCCGAGCACAGAGCGUUUCGCUGUGGAACCCUUUUUGCCCGUCCUACCCGCCCCCACGCGGGCCCCGGACUGUCGUUCGCAGAGUUUGGGUUGUAUUUAUCCGCAAGAGAGACUGAAGAAGAGCUUAGGACUUGAAUCCGCCUGGGCCUUUUCGGCAAUCUCACCGAGGCGUUCCUUCUCGCCCAUGAAUCCGCCUGGGCCUUUUCGGCAAUCUCACCGAGGCGUUCCUUCUCGCCCAUGAGACUGUACUAGCGUAAAGGCACGGAGUGACACGGCACAGACUGUCUCUGUCUUUCUGGGAAGCAGAACAGUCAACCUCCUUGAUUGGCUGUUGCUCUCUGCAGUGGCCACUGCUCUGGUCUUGAGGCAGCACCAGCUGGUGGGUUGCUUAUCGGCCCACGCCAGGGUCCCGUCACGGGUGCGACAAAGAGAACGUUGUCUCCAUCUCUCUGUUGCACUCGUUGGGACGAGGUCUUGUGGCUGGCGGUGUUACGUGGGUAAAAAUACCCACAACGAGGUACGAGGAAAUAGGGGGUAGAAAGACCAGGGUGGACCACGUGGCUGGUCGUUCGAGUCAGGGCGGUACGGUGGCUGAUCAAGUCACCUUGCGUGCUCUGGCUGAAGACAGUCGUUUUCGUCGCUCUCUCUCGCACUCAUUAGGCAUCCCGUGAAGAUGCGAGAGAGGCAGAGUGACUACUCUCGGAGUCAGUCUACUGGGCGGGCCUUUUCGACUGCUCUGCAGGGUGCACGCGUGUGGGCGUUGACCUCACUGAUAAGACUUGUCGUUGCGCUUUGAGAAGAGCGUUCUGGUCCUCUUCCCGAUGCACGACUCUUCGAGAGAGAAGGUCGCUACGCUGCAGGAAGAGCGUAUGGGACCUACACUCUUUUUCCAGGCAGUUAGAACUGCGUGGGCUUAGCGCCCUCCAUCUUGAUUCUGGUUCCCUCCCUGAGCAGCUCCGCAAGGAUCUUCUCGAAGGGAAGAAACUUGUUCCCUUCCUGGCACGUCCUCCAGCAACUGGCAGUAGGGGACGUGCUCCGGCUUAACUCCUUGAAGGAGGAGCGCGGCCAGGAGGUCUUGGUCUUCAAUGGGACGUCUGGUCUCGUUAAUCCGUUGUACUGCGGCCUGGAACUCGAGGACAUACUCCUUAGCGUACGCAUCUGCAUGCGGAGUGUGUCGGCUUGCAGAGCUAGCACCUUGGCUCGGUCACACGUUAGGUCAGGGGUUGACACAAGUUUGCUACGUGUGUCAUAGUGACGCAGAAGUUGUGUCAAUUUCGCUCUGACGCGCGUAAUCCACACGAAGGGAGACCUCGGAAACGAAAUGAGCUGGUGCGCUCGAUAUAUGACUGGGUUUCGCUUGAUCCAGACGUGUCUUGCCUGCACCAGCUAGUAGGGUAUUUCGGGAAGAAAUCAAGAAGACCGAAGGGCUCGAGAUUGAGCUCCUGCGUUGAAUUUCUGCCAUUCUCGAGGAGCAACUUUCUCAUACUAGGUGUUUCCUUUGGUCGUCUUGAUUUCUUCUGUCUCCGAGUGAAACCACUGUGUUGGACAACAGGGGCAAGGCAGUUUGGCGCCAGGAGGCUUUGUGCGCACGGCUGGGGAGGGCUGGACGAUGAUAGCAAGUGCCAGUGGUGUGUGAUUUAUGAAUACUGCCAUAAAACAUUUACCCAGAAACCUGCCGCCGCUCUUUUGUGACAAUUUCCACAUUUCGAUCGUACCGAGGAUUUCGAAGCAGAAACCCGUACGCGCUGUUGGCGCUUUGCUUCAGUGCCUGUACCUAAUGGCAGUUUCGUCUUCUUCGGGCAGCCCCCGCGAGCCGGGACGCCAGUGUACUCAGUCGUGGUUGCUUUUUCUAGGGCUUUUUUGAAGUCCAGUUAGUGGUCACCAUGUCUGGCCACCUUACCGAACGGCGUUCGGGCCGGCCCAGAGGCUUUUUGACACAGCGGGACGAACAGUCUCGUGUGGUAGCAGAAAGCUGAUGUACUCUUGAGUUGAGAUGACUCCGACUUGCGUUUCCGUGCUACGGUCUCUUUUUCUAUAAAGAAACCAAGACACGGGAUCAACAAGUUCGUGAGUCCCUCAAACGUUUCUGUGUUUGGCACGAAAGGUGGCAAGUGAAUAUUAGUACAGCUAGGCGAAAAGUCUUGCGUUCAGCACAAAUGGAGGCAGGUGUAUAUUAGUGCACUUGUGCAGGAAGGUGUAAAGUCUCUUGUGUUCAAGACAAAAGGUGGCAGGUGUAUAGAUGUGCAGUGAUUCACAAAGUUGCAAACGUUUUUGUGUUUAGCACGGAAGGUGGCAAGUGAAUGUUUGUACAGCUAGGCGAAAAGUCUUGUAUUCAGCACAAAUGGAGGCAGGUGUAUAGAUGGGCAGUGAUUCACAAAGUUGCAAACGUUUUUGUGUUUAGCACGGAAGGUGGCAAGUGAAUGUUUGUACAGCUAGGCGAAAAGUCUUGUAUUCAGCACAAAUGGAGGCAGGUGUAUAGAUGGGCAGUGAUUCACAAAGUUGCAAACGUUUUUGUGUUUAGCACGGAAGGUGGCAAGUGAAUGUUUGUACUGCUAGGCGAAAAGUCUUGUGUUCAGCACAAAUGGAGGCAGGUGUAUAUUAGUGCACUUGUGCAGGAAGGUGUAAAGUCUCCUAUGUUCAAGACGAAAGGUGGCAGGUGUAUUGAUGUGCAGUGAUUCACAAAGCUGCAAACGUUUUUGUGUUAAGAGCGGAGGAAAGGGAAGGCAGCCCCGCUAUUGACUUCGAUGGUUCUCGGUGGUUUGAUGUUGAUGCCCUUUCGAAUGCCACAGGAAGCUGGAUAGACUCGUAUUUUAGUUUUAACAUUCCCAAAAGUGACUAUGAGUUUCCUAACUCUAGAAUUUGGUGGACUGUUGUUGAUGCGCCCCGAAACACCACACACACUGUGUUCAGAGUGUGGUUUUGAUGGGCUGUUGUUGAUGCGCCCCGAAACACCACACUCGCUGUUUUCAGUGUGUUCUUGGUGGACUAUUGUUGAUGCGCCCCGAAACACCACACACAUGGCUAAAAGAAUUUCCUUUUUGGAAUAAAGUUAAAGAAAGGAGUCAUCAUCAUAUUUUUAUCAUUACACAUGGACUGGAAAGCACUAUUCUUCUGCUGUCCUCUUGUCUGAUUUGGACACAAAUUUUUUAUGGAAAGGAAUUUACUCCUGGAUUCAUCAAAAAUGACAUCCCUGGCUGUAUACCGAAACACCACACACAUGGCUAGAAGAAUUUCCUUUUUGGAAUCAAGUUAAACAAAGGAGUCAUCAUCACAUCUCUGGCUGUAAUUACCUUUCUUUUUUCAAUCGACCAUAGCCUGUAUCCAUUGUCACAAUAUCCUAACAUAAUACACCACGUGUCGUCUGAUUUGGAUACGAAUUUUUUAUGGAAAGGAAUUUACUCCUGGUUUCAUCAAAGGUAACAUUCCUGGUUGUAAUAACCUUUCUUCGGGCUGGGGUGUUGGUGAUGGUACCACUUAUCGUCUGAUUUGGAUACGAAUUUUUUUUAUGGAAAGGACUGCAAGGACUUAAUACAGCGUGAUCAGUUAUCGCCUUUCGUGAGCAUACCUCGCCACGUUCACGAUGAUGAUAGCAGGGUUCUGUUUGCUCUCUCGGCUACCCCAUUCUGUUCUGGGCAGUAAGCCACCGACAGUUGACGGGCUUUUCCUUCCUUUCAUGAGGCUCCAUCUGUGACUUGGCAGAUGUCUGAGUGAAUUAAAUCUUAAUCCCGACGUGGCCUCAAUUUCUCUUUUUCUUCUGAGAAGAUCAAUCCCCUGUCAACACAGGAACCUUUAUAAAUUUACUCCUGGAUUCAUCAGAAAUAACAUCUCUGGCUGUAAUUACCUUUCUUUUUUCAAUCGACCAUAGCCUGUAUCCAUUGUCACAAUAUCCUAACAUAAUACACCACGUGUCGUCUGAUUUGGAUACGAAUUUUUUAUGGAAAGGAAUUUACUCCUGGUUUCAUCAAAGGUAACAUUCCUGGUUGUAAUAACCUUUCUUCGGGCUGGGGUGUUGGUGAUGGUACCACUUAUCGUCUGAUUUGGAUACGAAUUUUUUUUAUGGAAAGGACUGCAAGGACUUAAUACAGCGUGAUCAGUUAUCGCCUUUCGUGAGCAUACCUCGCCACGUUCACGAUGAUGAUAGCAGGGUUCUGUUUGCUCUCUCGGCUACCCCAUUCUGUUCUGGGCAGUAAGCCACCGACAGUUGACGGGCUUUUCCUUCCUUUCAUGAGGCUCCAUCUGUGACUUGGCAGAUGUCUGAGUGAAUUAAAUCUUAAUCCCGACGUGGCCUCAAUUUCUCUUUUUCUUCUGAGAAGAUCAAUCCCCUGUCAACACAGGAACCUUUAUAAAUUUACUCCUGGAUUCAUCAGAAAUAACAUCUCUGGCUGUAAUUACCUUUCUUUUUUCAAUCGACCAUAGCCUGUAUCCAUUGUCACAAUAUCCUAACAUAAUACGCCACGUGUCGUCUGAUUUGGAUUACACUAAGGAACCAUUCCUUGCACAGUCCUGGUGGCGCUGGUCACCCAGAGGUGCGUCCUGGGCGAGGAGCUGCCGGAGUCGUUGCUCCGCGGCAAGCCCCCCGGGGGGGAAAGGGGGGGGGGAGGUCGAGGGAUACAUAGGUAGGUGACUACAAACUGUAAUUUUGGAGGUAACAAAAUCAUUGAAACUUUUGUUCCACUUCAUGGGAGCUUGUUUGAGCCCAUAAAGAGUCCUCUUAAGUUUACAAACAGCUUUAGCACUUCCUCUUUCAUUCGCUAGUCCUUAUGGGACUAGCUCAGGCUCAGGGGCGCGGCAGUUGGAAGCCUUCGCCCGUAACACAACGAAACAAUCCUGCUUUUAAUUUGCUAAAGAAAGAUACAAGAAGAUAACCUACUGGUGGUUCGAGUCAGAUGAAGAGGCUUCACUUGAUGGUGGACUGCCAUCUGGUUGGCUGGGCGCAUUAGGUGCUCCUUGGUCCGUUUCUUCUGUCUCGUACCAGCACCAGUUUGGGGUUGUCUUGUCUGGCGCGGGGCUCGUCUCGACCUCUCACGGCCUCUCACGUUGACUUUACACACCGUGGCGCGUUAGAUUUACCAGGAUCUUCUGGUAGUGUGUGGAUUAUCUAGGAACAUCAUCUUCUCCCGGCAUCUUCUUUCUUCUUUUGGACUGCUCGAAAAUGCGAUUGCCUCCACGAGGCGGGAUAGCCUCUCAAGUGCUUUAUCGGAUACGAGCGGUAGAAGUUUUUCUAGACACUCGAUCACGCAAAUGAUGAUUCGACGGCGUCGAGCUGCAUCGUGGGGUUUCCCGCGAUGACCGCUCUGUGAUGCUCGGCAGGCGCUGCGCCCAGAGUGAGCGGAGCAGCGGGUCCCCGACGGUCCUAACUGGUGUUGUUGAACGUCCCACUUCUGAUCUUUUAGAGAGUAAAGGGCCCAAUAAAUUUUCUAAAUCAUUGAACACUGUUGGAAUCAUUCUGAAAUGUUGUCUGAAUUGAACUGAAUUUAUCCUGGGAAUAGUUCUUGCAAUAUAACCUCUUACUCUUGUAGGUGCAAUCCUCUUGCCCCUUAAUUUUCGCAUAAUAGACAACAAAUUUCAAAACAUGCUUUCUUUCUUGCAUCCAUUGCAGACGACUUCUAAGUGUAAACAAAACCGUCUCCCCCGAACCGCUCGGAAACUCAGCUAUCCCCUCGUCACCCCACGAACACUCUGCCCCCACCACCUCCGUCCCUCGGGUGGAGAUCUCGGCGGACGGGGCGCUGGUCGCCCAGGGGUGCGUCCUGAUUCCACAACACUGCUGGAACACAGUCAAACGAGAUCUGGGUCCCGGUGCGUUCUUGUUUUGCUCCUUCCAAACCCUCCAAGGUCAUCACGGUAGGGCAGCAGACAUGACGAGCCGAAAUGCUACCGCAUUUGAGUUUGCGGACAGACCGCGCGAGGUCGAAGUGUCAGAGUGAUGAUGAAGAUGGCCAAACGAAUGUGGGGAUGGGUGGGUGGCCUACCCUCACGGCGCCAUUGUUCCAGAGCCGUUCCAAGUGCAAUGAAGGUAGGCCACCCAAUCGACACGUCACCGUGCGGUCGUAGGAAAUUAGUGACACAAAAGGAAACCGCAGCAAAAAGUCAUAGGGUUUAAAAUUUAAAAAAUUCUUCUUUGACUUUUUAAUUCAUUCCGAGAGUCCAUUAUCCGUCGCUCUGCUUCUCGCGCACCUCCGUAGAGUUAUCCUUAUUUUAUUGCUCUUAGACAUCAUCUUUUAAUUAUUUUAUGUUUUCAGGUGUGACCUUAAUAAUUUUUUUAUUGUUUUCAGACAUGACCUGUUAAUUCUUUAUUCUUUCCAGGGACGGGCGUUUUAACGCGUUGGCGCUCUCAGUUGCGGGAAGCAACCGCGCUGGAUUCUUGUACUAGAGUGUAUUUUGCCUGUUUUUAAUGUUUCUAGCUUGCAGUUGUUACCAUCCUCAGCUACACUGAAUAAAUAAAUUAUUGAAUCUA
This is a long non-coding RNA of Thrips palmi, 7157 nucleotides long. RefSeq lists it as uncharacterized. The record is from RefSeq and is a predicted model, not a curated record. The transcript has 2 exons. NCBI's taxonomy places the organism in Eukaryota, Metazoa, Arthropoda, Insecta, Thysanoptera, Thripidae.